GGACUACCCGGGUAUCUAAUCCUGUUUGCUCCCCACGCUUUCGCGCCUCAGCGUCAGUAUCGGACCAGGUCGCCGCCUUCGCCACCGGUGUUCUUCCCAAUAUCUACGAAUUUCACCUCUACACUGGGAAUUCCACGACCCUCUUCCGAACUCAAGCCCGCACGUAUUGAAUGCAGCCCCCAGGUUGAGCCCAGGAAUUUCACAUCCAACUGUACGAACCGCCUACGCGCCCUUUACGCCCAGUCAUUCCGAGCAACGCUAGCCCCCUUCGUAUUACCGCGGCUGCUGGCAC
RNAcentral lists this ribosomal RNA (292 nucleotides) under uncultured bacterium. RNAcentral describes it as "partial 16S ribosomal RNA". The record is from RNAcentral. RNAcentral also lists the same sequence under 1 other name.